CCCGCACAAGCGGUGGAGCAUGUGGUUUAAUUNGAUGCAACGCGCAAAACCUUACCUGGUCUUGACAUGUACCGGACGGUUAUCAGAGAUGAUGCCUCUCUUCGGAGCCGGUAUGCAGGUGCUGCAUGGCUGUCGUCAGCUCGUGUCGUGAGAUGUUGGGUUAAGUCCCGCAACGAGCGCAACCCUUGCCUUUAGUUGCCAGCAUUUAGUUGGGCACUCUAGAGGGACUGCCGACUUUAAGUCGGAGGAAGGUGGGGAUGACGUCAAGUCCUCAUGGCCCUUAUGACCAGGGCUACACACGUGCUACAAUGGUUGGUACAGAGGGAAGCUAAAUCGCGAGAUCAAGCAAAUCCCACAAAGCCAAUCUAAGUUCGGAUCGGAGUCUGCAACUCGACUCCGUGAAGUUGGAAUCGCUAGUAAUCGUGGAUCAGAAUGCCACGGUGAAUACGUUCCCGGGCCUUGUACACACCGCCCGUCACACCAUGAAAGUUGGCUGUACCAGAAGUCGCUGUGCUAACUUCGGAGGCAGGCGCCCAAGGUAUGGUUGAUGAUUGGGGUG
RNAcentral lists this ribosomal RNA (559 nucleotides) under uncultured bacterium. RNAcentral's name for it is "bacterial SSU rRNA". It matches the Rfam family "Bacterial small subunit ribosomal RNA", at positions 920 to 1482 of the family's 1533-position model. The record is from RNAcentral.